CUCCCUACUAGGUAUGGCCCCUGAGGCCAUGUUUGUAUGCUUUGACUCCUGCCCCUCCAGCUUCCCGGAGGGGAUACCCCAAAAUGAAGGCCUCAGAAGCAACUGAGACUGACUGAUCCAGGAAUGCCUAUCUGAUCCAAGUAGGCCAAUCAGGUCCUUUGUCUGGGGCUUGGGAAUCUGCAUUCCACUGGCUGGGACUGGCCCCUGAACUGAGAACAGGGAUAGGGAAGCUGGCCCAGAGAGAGGAAGGUGAGUGCAAAUUCACACAGCAAACAAGCGUCAGAGCCAGAGCCUGGGGAUUCUCCUCGCCCGCCCAGAUCUCCUCGGAACCUUCACCUUCCUCUUGGGCCCUGGAAAUGAGGCAUGUGCGCGCCUCCUCCGUGCACCCAGGGCCAGGCGUUGAAGACGGAAGGGGCGAUUCCUGCGGGUGUUCUUCUCGGAGCUGAGGUUGGCACGCACCAGUUUGUCCACCGGGGGGCACUACGGAGCCGAGCUAGGAGAGCGCGCGGGCUCCCGGAGCCUCCCAGCCCUGAUUGAUCCGCACUUGAGCCCGGCGGGAAAACAGGUGUCCCGAGAGGAGAGGAACUAGCCAGACGUCACCCUGAGAACUAGAGACAGAGCUGGCACUUGACGCGGACCUCCUGACACCAGUCAGGUGCACUCUCCCGGCGUCUAAGCGCGUCCCUCCCCCUCUUCCGGGGGCCGGGCUGCUACUUCUUUUCCUGUCAACUGGGGUCAGCGAAGGCCCUCCUGGGCCAGGCUGUGCAGAACCACAGCUCUGUCUGGCAUGGCAUUGCACCUCCACUGGACAGUGGCCGGUGCUGAGCGACACAUGCCUCAUUCCCUCUCUGUCCAGGGCCGCUCCCCACCCCGCCUUCUUCUUCUUCUUCUUCUUUUUUUUUUUGGAAACGGAGUCUUGCUCUGUCACCCAGGCUGGAGUGCAGUGGCGCGACCUCGGCUCACUGCAAUCUCUGCCUCCUGGGUCCAAGCCAUUCUCCUGCCUCAG
RNAcentral lists this long non-coding RNA (1006 nucleotides) under Homo sapiens (human). RNAcentral describes it as "HSALNT0004228". Lineage: Eukaryota; Metazoa; Chordata; Mammalia; Primates; Hominidae. The record is from RNAcentral.